UCUAGAACUCGACAUAUGUGCUGAACACUGAAUUAUGUCUAGGCAGCAUGACAAAUUCAGACUUCUCUUUUGUUGCUACGAUUUGAACUUGAAAAUGACAGUAUUGAAUCUUAGACUCUUCAUGAAUGUUUUAGUCAUAUGUCUUAGUGAUGCAAC
Molecule: non-coding RNA, 156 nt
Organism: Populus trichocarpa (black cottonwood)
Lineage: Eukaryota; Viridiplantae; Streptophyta; Magnoliopsida; Malpighiales; Salicaceae
Source: Rfam